Molecule: ribosomal RNA, 117 nt
Filed under: bacterium
Lineage: Bacteria
Also listed under: 1 other name
Source: RNAcentral
CGAGGUGAUCAUCGCGGAGGGGCCACACCCGUUCCCAUUCCGAACACGGCCGUUAAGCCCUCCAGCGCCGAUGGUACUGCCUGGGAGACUGGGUGGGAGAGUAGGUCGUCGCCUCGU